Molecule: ribosomal RNA, 399 nt
Filed under: Epipyxis aurea
Lineage: Eukaryota; Chrysophyceae; Chromulinales; Dinobryaceae
Description: Epipyxis aureus partial small subunit ribosomal RNA
Rfam family: Eukaryotic small subunit ribosomal RNA
Source: RNAcentral
GCUUGUCUCAAAGAUUAAGCCAUGCAUGUCUAAGUAUAAACGAUUUUAUACGUGAAACUGCGAAUGGCUCAUUAUAUCAGUUAUAGUUUAUUUGAUGGUCCUUACUAUUUGGAUAACCGUAGUAAUUCUAGAGCUAAUACAUGCAUCAAGCCCUGACUUCGGAAGGGGUGUAUUUAUUAGAUGGAAACCAAUGCGGGGCAACCCGGAAUAUGGUGAUUCAUAAUAACUGUUCGGAUCGUAUGGCUUUUUGCCGACGACAGAUCAUUCAAAUUUCUGCCCUAUCAGCUUUCGACGGUACUGUAGUGGACUACCGUGGCAUUAACGGGUGACGGAGAAUUAGGGUUCGAUUCCGGAGAGGGAGCCUGAGAAAUGGCUACCACAUCCAAGGAAGGCAGCAGG